RNAcentral lists this ribosomal RNA (499 nucleotides) under uncultured archaeon. Its description in RNAcentral is "bacterial SSU rRNA". It matches the Rfam family "Archaeal small subunit ribosomal RNA", at positions 497 to 997 of the family's 1478-position model. The record is from RNAcentral.
UUAUUAGGGUCUAAAGGGUCCGUAGCCGGUUGGUCAGUCCUCCGGGAAAUCUGAUAGCUCAACUAUUAGGGCUUCGGGGAGUACUGCCAGACUUGGAACCGGGAGAGGUAAGAGGUACUACAGGGUAGGAGUGAAAUCUUGUAAUCCCUGUGGGACCACCGUGUAGGCGAAGGCGUCUUACCAGAACGGGUUCGACGGUGAGGGACGAAAGCUGGGGGCACGAACCGGAUUAGAUACCCGGGUAGUCCCAGCCGUAAACGAUGCUCGCUAGGUGUCAGGCAUGGCGCGACCGUGUCUGGUGCCGCAGGGAAGCCGUGAAGCGAGCCACCUGGGAAGUACGGCCGCAAGGCUGAAACUUAAAGGAAUUGGCGGGGGAGCACAACAACGGGUGGAGCCCUGCGGUUUAAUUGGACUCAACGCCGGACAACUCACCGGGGGCGACAGCAAUAUGUAGGCCAAGCUGAAGACUUUGCCUGAAUCGCUGAGAAGUGGUGCAUGG